CUAAGGCUCCAGAGGAAGCCACGGCUAACUCUGUGCCAGCAGCCGCGGUAAUACAGAGGCGGCAAGCGCUGUUCGGAAUUAUUGGGCGUAAAGAGCACGUAGGCGGCCUUGCAAGUCAGUUGUGAAAGCCUUCCGCUUAACGGAAGAAUGCCAGCUGAUACUACAGGGCUUGAGUACGGGAGGGGAGAGUGGAACUUCUGGUGGAGCGGUGAAAUGCGUAGAUAUCAGAAGGAACGCCGGCGGCGAAAGCGACUCUCUGGCCCGAAACUGUCGCUGAGUGUGCGAAAGCUAGGGGAGCAAACGGGAUUAGAUACCCCGGUAGUCCUAGCCGUAAA
Molecule: ribosomal RNA, 335 nt
Filed under: uncultured Planctomycetales bacterium
Lineage: Bacteria; Pseudomonadati; Planctomycetota; Planctomycetia; Planctomycetales
Description: bacterial SSU rRNA
Rfam family: Bacterial small subunit ribosomal RNA
Source: RNAcentral